GGUGUUGAGGUUUAUGAAGUUGA
Molecule: non-coding RNA, 23 nt
Filed under: Arabidopsis thaliana (thale cress)
Lineage: Eukaryota; Viridiplantae; Streptophyta; Magnoliopsida; Brassicales; Brassicaceae
Source: RNAcentral